GCAGUCGCCACGGGAAUACAGAGGGUGCAAGCGUUAAUCGGAAUUACUGGGCGUAAAGCGCGCGUAGGUGGUUUGUUAAGUUGGAUGUGAAAUCCCCGGGCUCAACCUGGGAACUGCAUCCAAAACUGGCAAGCUAGAGUAUGGUAGAGGGUGGUGGAAUUUCCUGUGUAGCGGUGAAAUGCGUAGAUAUCGGAAGGAACACCUGUGGCGAAAGCGGCUCACUGGACCAUUUCUGACGCUGAUGCACGAAAGCUAGGGGAGCAAACAGGAUUAGAUACCCCCGUAGUCCCUGUCUCUUAUAC
This 302-nucleotide ribosomal RNA is filed under the name uncultured bacterium. RNAcentral describes it as "partial 16S ribosomal RNA". It matches the Rfam family "Bacterial small subunit ribosomal RNA", at positions 508 to 807 of the family's 1533-position model. The record is from RNAcentral.